Molecule: long non-coding RNA, 216 nt
Filed under: Daucus carota (carrot)
Lineage: Eukaryota; Viridiplantae; Streptophyta; Magnoliopsida; Apiales; Apiaceae
Description: long non-coding RNA (DCAR_LNC007540)
Source: RNAcentral
GGAAUAAUUAAAGAUUACCUCGUCUUUUAGGUACCUUCCUAGUUGAGCGCGAAAUCCUAGGGGCUAACGUCUAAUUCAAUUUUAUUAAAAGGCUAGGGAAUGCAAAAUGAAGAAUUAAGUCGUUGUGGGCCAAGGAAAGAGAGAUGAAAUCCCUUCCCUUAUCUUGUGAGUGGGUUUUGCCCUUAAGAUUUAUUUAAAAUGAUGCACCACACAACG